GCUCAGCUGGCUCAGUUGGUAGAGCAUGUGACUCUUGAUCUCAGGGUCAUGAGUUCAAGCCCCAUAUUGGGCA
This 73-nucleotide transfer RNA is filed under the name Canis lupus familiaris (dog). It matches the Rfam family "tRNA". From Rfam's summary of the family: Transfer RNA (tRNA) molecules are approximately 80 nucleotides in length. Lineage: Eukaryota; Metazoa; Chordata; Mammalia; Carnivora; Canidae. RNAcentral also lists the same sequence under 1 other name. The record is from Rfam by way of RNAcentral.